Molecule: ribosomal RNA, 201 nt
Filed under: Triticum aestivum (bread wheat)
Lineage: Eukaryota; Viridiplantae; Streptophyta; Magnoliopsida; Poales; Poaceae
Description: partial small subunit ribosomal RNA
Source: RNAcentral
AUGCAGUCGCCAUGCAUGAGGUCAGCACGUCUGCACCUAGAUGCUAGUAUCUUUAGCAGCCUGAGUUUUCACUUGUAUGUCUAUCCCUGCCUCCUGUACUUCUACAAAUUUUGUCUCGGUGGAAGAACAGGUAGGCAUAUUUCUUUAUGCCGUUUCGAACAAUGCAACCAAUUGUACACUCCAAGGGCAAUUUCAGCAUAG